UUGCCCUAGACACACACCAGACUGUGAGACCACAACAUUCACAAAACAUGUUCCAUUGCAAGACUCAAUCACAACCUGGCAGUUCACUGGCAUUAGCCUUUCAAAGGCCUAUGGAAUCUGUGUUGGGGAGCCGUUUGAAGUGAUUGUCAGAAAGGAAUUUUUCAUUGAUCUGAGACUUCCUUAUUCUGCUGUUCGAGGAGAGCAGAUAGAAAUUAAAGCAAUCCUUCACAACUACAGCCCAGAACUAAUCAC
Long non-coding RNA from Cynoglossus semilaevis (tongue sole), 252 nucleotides. RefSeq lists it as uncharacterized. The record is from RefSeq and is a predicted model, not a curated record. NCBI's taxonomy places the organism in Eukaryota, Metazoa, Chordata, Actinopteri, Pleuronectiformes, Cynoglossidae. The transcript has 3 exons.